CACGCUUCUUCUCGGGCGCGCUUCCUCCUCCUCCUCCUCCUUCGGGCUCGACCCGAGGCUUCCGGCGGCAGCCUCCGGGUGUCGGAUUUUGUAAAAUAUAAUUAACAUAACUGAAAGGUGCAGCAGCGGGAUCGGCCCGGGCGGGGCGCCUCCAAAGAGAGGGACCCCGAACAAAGAAAUCCCGGGGCCGUUCCACGCUUGGGUCCCGGACACCCGCCCCUCGCGCGCUGUCCGCGCGUCCCUUAGUCCCGCGGUGACUUUUGGUCUGGGGUCUUCUACCGUCGUCUCGGAUUCUUCUUCUGUAUAGCUGUGGGCGGUGCGUUAUUCCACAGGUGCCGCCGCGCCGAUGCUCCGUACGUUCGCAGUAACGGGUAGAGCGGAAGGCUCCGUGGCCAGGGAAGAGCGGCACGGACGCGUUCCUGCUCGCUCCGUUGCACCGGAAUUUCGACGGCUGGGUUCGGCCGCUAAAUUGAUGGCGCUACCGGAAGAAAUUUCAGAGAAAAAGGGUGGCUUUUUCGUCGAUCUCUUUGUGAGAGUAUCAAAUCAGGCGGCGGUAAAUACGUAGAAGCAGCUAGGCGUACUACGGCGUGUACCGGACAGCGUUGGCGUGCCGCUCUGCUAGCAGCGGAGAGCCAGAUGAGGAUGCCCGUGAUAUGAGAAAAGCUCUGUCCAGAGAUAUGGAGACGAAAUCAGUUGUACCUCAUCCCGUGACACCGGAAGACAUUGAGUAACUGUAAGCUGUGAUGCUCAGUGAAAUUACUAAGAGCGUUAAGUUUCCCGUGCCUUUGCUUUCACUCUCCCAUUCUCUUGUCUUGCGGCACGUCGCAUUUUUUGAGGCCGUGGA
This is a long non-coding RNA of Grus americana (Whooping crane), 844 nucleotides long. RefSeq lists it as uncharacterized. NCBI's taxonomy places the organism in Eukaryota, Metazoa, Chordata, Aves, Gruiformes, Gruidae. The transcript has 3 exons. The record is from RefSeq and is a predicted model, not a curated record.